GGCCCGUUAGCUCAGUUGGUUAGAGCGUCGUGCUAAUAACGCGAAGGUCGCGGGUUCGAUCCCCUUACGGGCCA
RNAcentral lists this transfer RNA (74 nucleotides) under Trichonephila inaurata madagascariensis. It matches the Rfam family "tRNA". Rfam says of the family: Transfer RNA (tRNA) molecules are approximately 80 nucleotides in length. Their secondary structure includes four short double-helical elements and three loops (D, anti-codon, and T loops). The record is from Rfam by way of RNAcentral. Lineage: Eukaryota; Metazoa; Arthropoda; Arachnida; Araneae; Nephilidae.